RNAcentral lists this ribosomal RNA (337 nucleotides) under uncultured bacterium. RNAcentral's name for it is "bacterial SSU rRNA". It matches the Rfam family "Bacterial small subunit ribosomal RNA", at positions 22 to 355 of the family's 1533-position model. The record is from RNAcentral.
GCUCAGAUUGAACGCUGGCGGCAGGCCUAACACAUGCAAGUCGAACGGUAACAGGAAGCAGCUUGCUGCUUUGCUGACGAGUGGCGGACGGGUGAGUAAUGUCUGGGAAACUGCCUGAUGGAGGGGGAUAACUACUGGAAACGGUAGCUAAUACCGCAUAACGUCGCAAGACCAAAGAGGGGGACCUUCGGGCCUCUUGCCAUCGGAUGUGCCCAGAUGGGAUUAGCUAGUAGGUGGGGUAAAGGCUCACCUAGGCGACGAUCCCUAGCUGGUCUGAGAGGAUGACCAGCCACACUGGAACUGAGACACGGUCCAGACUCCUACGGGAGGCAGCAGU